Non-coding RNA from Tupaia belangeri chinensis (Chinese tree shrew), 485 nucleotides. The record is from the annotation of a RefSeq genome assembly. NCBI's taxonomy places the organism in Eukaryota, Metazoa, Chordata, Mammalia, Scandentia, Tupaiidae.
GUCUGAACCAGACUCAUUUUGUUUGUUGGCUUUGAUUUACAAUUGGAGUCAUCAGUGAACCAGGGCAGAAAAGAAGAAUGAACUCCUGGAGAGUUUCCGUAGUGAUCCUGUGGUUUCAGUUAAGCUGGGUGAGGAGCCAGCAGAAGGAGGUGGAGCAGAGCUCUGAGUCCCUCAGUGUUGCAGAAGGAGCCAUUGCCUCUCUCAAUUGCACCUACAGAGACCGUGCUUCUUCGUCCUUUGCAUGGUACAGACAGUAUUCCGGGAAAGGCCCUGAAAUGCUGAUCCUCACAUUCUCCAGUGGUGACAAAGAAGAAGGAAGAUUUACAAUGAAGGUCAAUAAGGACAGCCUCUAUGUUUCCCUGAUCAUCAAGGAUUCUCAGCCGCGUGACUCAGCCACCUACUUCUGUGCAGUGGACACACAGCACUCCCCAGGCACCUGCAGCCUGUACCCAAACCUGCUGGGGCUCCAGGAAAGCCUUCUAUAG